GCUGUAGUAGCUCAGUUGGUUAGAGUGUCACGUUGUGGCCGUGAAGGUCCCGGGUUCGACUCUCGGUUACAGCA
Anncaliia algerae PRA109 is the source of this 74-nucleotide non-coding RNA. Lineage: Eukaryota; Fungi; Microsporidia; Tubulinosematidae. The record is from Rfam.